CUUGCAUCAAUAUAAGAGGUCCAGCCUGCCCAGUGACCCAGUUCAACGGCCGCGGUAUCCUAACCGUGCGAAGGUAGCGUAAUCACUUGUUCUUUAAAUGAGGACUAGUAUGAAUGGCACCACGAAGGUUACGCUGUCUCCUUUUUCUAAUCAAUGAAACUAAUCUCCCCGUGAAGAAGCGGGGAUUUAAAUAUAAGACGAGAAGACCCUAUGGAGCUUCAAACUAUAUAGCAUUGGCUUUUAUCCACUUAUACCCCCGGGCUCUCAUACUAACUCUAGCCUUUUAACUAUUAGUUUUGGGUUGGGGUGACCACGGAGCAAAAAUUAUCCUCCAUGAUGAACAGAGCUAUUCUUGAACCAAAAGCCACAACUUUAAGCACCAAUAAACUGACACAGUUGACCCAAUAUUUUGAGCAACGAAC
Molecule: ribosomal RNA, 422 nt
Filed under: Dendropsophus leucophyllatus group sp. ABGD cluster 4
Lineage: Eukaryota; Metazoa; Chordata; Amphibia; Anura; Hylidae
Description: partial large subunit ribosomal RNA
Rfam family: Archaeal large subunit ribosomal RNA
Source: RNAcentral